GUGCUCUGAUUUGCUUAUUGCACCACAUGUGUUUUUCUUUGAAACAAACUUGCUUUGGCGGUGGGCCCAGCCUGCCGCCAGAGGUCUAAACUUACAACCAAUUUUUUAUCAACUUGUCACACCAGAUUAUUACUAAUAGUCAAAACUUUCAACAACGGAUCUCUUGGUUCUCGCAUCGAUGAAGAACGCAGCGAAAUGCGAUACGUAAUAUGAAUUGCAGAUAUUCGUGAAUCAUCGAAUCUUUGAACGCACAUUGCGCCCUCUGGUAUUCCGGAGGGCAUGCCUGUUUGAGCGUCGUUUCUCCCUCAAACCGCUGGGUUUGGUGUUGAGCAAUACGACUUGGGUUUGCUUGAAAGACGGUAGUGGUAAGGCGGGAUCGCUUUGACAAUGGCUUAGGUCUAACCAAAAACAUUGCUUGCGGCGGUAACGUCCACCACGUAUAUCUUCAAACUUUGACCUCAAAUCAGGUAGGACUACCCGCUGAACUUAAGCAUAUCAAAAGGGCGGGAG
Molecule: ribosomal RNA, 510 nt
Filed under: Candida albicans
Lineage: Eukaryota; Fungi; Ascomycota; Pichiomycetes; Serinales; Debaryomycetaceae
Description: eukaryotic LSU rRNA
Rfam family: 5.8S ribosomal RNA (bases 144-297)
Source: RNAcentral